This 576-nucleotide long non-coding RNA is filed under the name Vigna radiata. RNAcentral describes it as "long non-coding RNA (VRAD_LNC013635)". The record is from RNAcentral. Lineage: Eukaryota; Viridiplantae; Streptophyta; Magnoliopsida; Fabales; Fabaceae.
UAGGGGUUGGGUCUUCCUCAGUCUCUAACGCCUACUCCAAGGGUACCUCAUCACCUACUGCUCACAUCCAAAGGAUUGGAUGAUCAUCGCAAGGGGGAAGGCAAACACACACAAACAUACAAUACAAGGGUGAGCUAGGUCUCAAACAAACAUACAAAUCAUGGCAAAUUAAGCUAGCAUUACCGAAAACAUCCAUUUACAUACAAGCAUNUAAGUCAUCAUGAACAUAAGCACUUAUUUCAUAAACUGAUUAAAACAAACAUCAUAUCAUGUUAAGACUCUUAGACACGUUUGGACAUAGAAUGUAUGUAGAGCUAGGGCAGGUUGUGCACUUGUGAUGGCCCCUACUGCUUUGCAAAGCCAUUGCCGAGGGGUUGCACCCGACCAUACACAAGGCUAGUCCGUUACCGCAGUAUAGACCUUCAGUGAUAGCGUCUACCCUAGGACCUCCCACUACUCCCACCACACACUUCAAUCCUCUCUACGUGAGAAUGAAAGACCGUUGGAGUGUGAGGGAUAACCCCCCAUAUGGAAGCCUCUCACAUCAUUCAAUACAAUAACUAAUCUCACCGAGAG